RNAcentral lists this signal recognition particle RNA (307 nucleotides) under Vombatus ursinus (common wombat). Its description in RNAcentral is "Metazoan signal recognition particle RNA (ENSVURG00010002479.1)". It matches the Rfam family "Metazoan signal recognition particle RNA". From Rfam's summary of the family: The signal recognition particle (SRP) is a universally conserved ribonucleoprotein. It is involved in the co-translational targeting of proteins to membranes. Lineage: Eukaryota; Metazoa; Chordata; Mammalia; Diprotodontia; Vombatidae. The record is from Rfam by way of RNAcentral.
GCUGGGGGGUAGAUGAUGCCUGGUUGUAGUCCCUGUCACUGAAGAAGCUGAGGCUGGUGGAUCACUUGAGUUCAGGACUUCUGAGUUGCCGUCGGGCUAAAGCCAAUGGAGCGUCUGUACUACAUCUGGCACUAAUAAGCUGAGUUCCUGAGGGUGGAGCGCUACCAGGCUGCCUAAAGAGAAGUGAACUGGCCCAAGUUGGAAACACAAAGAAGGUUAAAGCUUCUGUAACAAUUAGCAUUGGGAUUAGACCCAUGGGUGGCUGCUAUACUUCCAGCCUAGGUGAGAUAGAGAGACCCAGCCUCAA